RNAcentral lists this long non-coding RNA (1435 nucleotides) under Heterocephalus glaber (naked mole-rat). RNAcentral's name for it is "lncRNA (ENSHGLG00000048110.1)". Lineage: Eukaryota; Metazoa; Chordata; Mammalia; Rodentia; Bathyergidae. The record is from RNAcentral.
GCAACCCAAAACCCAGUAACAUUUGAUUGGUGAGCCACUUUUAAAAGGAGCCACCUGAUAACUCUUAGCGUAGCCACCCAGGAGAAUUAAAAAGCGGGAGAAUUUGGUAACCGAAGGACUGGGGAUGUAGCUCAGUGUCAAGGCCCUGGGUUUAAUCCCCAAUGCCACAAACAAAAAACAAAACCAAAAGAAGACAUGAAAUGGUGAGAGGAUCUUCAGGCCUGAGAAGAGGGUGGAGGGCCUUUGCACUGAGUUCCAUCUCCAGCCCUUUUGAUUUUUUGUUUUGAGACAGGGUCUCAAUGGAACCCAGGCCCAUGAGCACUCCAGGCCAGGACCCUACCGCUCUGCACCCCUCCUUCCACAGCCUCCCCCAGGAGGGAUCGUCCUCCUUCCCGUCGGAGGUGAUGGCUCAGGAAAGGGCGCACACAGAGCAGGCUCCAGGGAGGACAGGAUUCCUGCUGGGAAGAGCUCUCUCCCUCCUAAACUGAGUCACGGAUGUUCUUAUCAGCAGACAACAGACCACAGGCGCAGGAAGAGUAAAGUUGCUGUGGCUCCUGACCACCUGCUACACAGGUCUGGAAUAGAUAGGUCUCUUCUGGCAUUAGUUUGGUGGCUGAAAUAACAUGGGGCUCAGCAUGUCUGUGACUCUCAGUCCCUCACUGAUAAUGCCACUCCAGCGAUUCUGACUGUUUAAGGGACCAUGCCAGGGAUACUCGUCUUUUUUCUGGAAUGAAAGCCAGACAUUUAGCCAGAUGUAGUGCUGCAUGCAUGCAAUGCUAACACUUGGGAGGCUGAGGCAGGAGGAUCACCUCAAAUUCGAGGCCAACCUGAGAUACAUAGUGAGAUCUUGUCUCAAAAAAACAAAAAAGAAAAUAAAACAAAAACAAAAGCCAAAGGUUUUCCCAGAAACCCUCCUGUACAUGCAUCUCCCAGGCAGUGCUGUGGAUGCAAGGCUGGCUAGGAAGAAUCUUGGAGCACUUCAUGUCACUAGAAGACACAGGAAAGGGACCAAACUAGAGCCAGUUCAGCUGCAAAUAUGAAGGGCACUCAGACCUCCUGGGCCUCUGGUGUCUGGAACCGCACCUUGCUGUAUAUAGCCCGAGCAGGAAGCCAGCACUGCAAAGAACAGAGAGGUGGAAAAAACUGUGUCCAAAACCAACAACUGAAGUGGAAAGUGGGCAGAGAAUGUGCAAACAGAGUUCACAGACAGGGAAAAACACAGCCCUGACUCAUGAAAAAAUGCUCAACCACACUCACAUAAGAAAUUCAAACAAAUAACGCUGCAAUUCCACUUCCCAGCAGUGAACUGGCAGAAAUCCAGGUGUUUGAGAACACAUUCUCUUAGUAAGGCUGGGCAGCAGGCAUCCAGGGCAAAAUGCCUGCCAGGUGUGGUGCACACCUGCAGUCUCAGCACUUUGGGAGGCUGAGGCAGGAG